GAUGAACGCUGGCGGCGUGCCUAAUACAUGCAAGUAGAACGCUGAAGCUUGGUGCUUGCACCGAGCGGAUGAGUUGCGAACGGGUGAGUAACGCGUAGGUAACCUGCCUGGUAGCGGGGGAUAACUAUUGGAAACGAUAGCUAAUACCGCAUAACAGUAGAUAUUGCAUGAUAUCUGCUUGAAAGGUGCAAAUGCAUCACUACCAGAUGGACCUGCGUUGUAUUAGCUAGUUGGUGAGGUAACGGCUCACCAAGGCGACGAUACAUAGCCGACCUGAGAGGGUGAUCGGCCACACUGGGACUGAGACACGGCCCAGACUCCUACGGGAGGCAGCAGUAGGGAAUCUUCGGCAAUGGGGGGAACCCUGACCGAGCAACGCCGCGUGAGUGAAGAAGGGUUUCGGAUCGUAAAGCUCUGUUGUAAGAGAAGAACGAGUGUGAGAGUGGAAAGUUCACACUGUGACGGUAGCUUACCAGAAAGAGACGGCUAACUACGUG
Molecule: ribosomal RNA, 497 nt
Filed under: uncultured bacterium
Lineage: Bacteria
Description: partial 16S ribosomal RNA
Rfam family: Bacterial small subunit ribosomal RNA
Source: RNAcentral